AACACCAAAAUGCAUAAUAAGUCCUUUGUUUACCUUUGUUUGCCUUCUUUAUUAAUGAUAUAACUUGGAGAAAUUUUGAAGACAUGAUAGAAGAAGGCCGAGAGAAUUUUUUGAUGAUGUAGAUUGUGAAGUGAAUAUUAGUCGGAUAAGAAAUAACGUGCUAUGAUAUCAAGAAUAUCAUACGGAUUUUCUCCCACUCUGACCUGUCGUUACGUGUUUCAUCGCGAUUGGCAUGUUUUGGAAGGAUUGUCAAAAAGAUCGGUUCAGGUUCUAUGUGAUUUAGAAGUGAUCUUGAAGGAACAAAGUGAAACGAGUCAAAAAGAAGUUAAAAAGAAGAAAAUCUGGAAAGGGGCCUCAGUUGUAGCAAAUGCGACAUAUACCUGGGAAUUGCGAAGUUAUCAAUGAUGGAAAUCGCGAGAAGUUUCUCGCAAUUGAGAAGAAAGGGCAAUCAGGCAGUCUUCGCAAAUGCGAAGAAUACCUCGCAAAUGUGAAAGUCAACUAAGUAGUCAACCUUCGCAAAUGCGAAGUUCUUAUCACAAAUGUGAAGUCAAAUAGUAUAACCAUAGUUCGCAAUUGCGAACUUAUGUUCGCAAAUGCGAAAAUCGAGCAUCAGACCUGGACAAUUUUGGAAUUUCACAUUUUUUGGCCUCAAACCCUUUAAUACCCAAACCAGUUCAUUUGUAAAAUAUCUUUGGCAUAUUUUCAGUUCUAAAGACUAGAGAGAACAAGGUUGGAAGCUAGGGUUUUGCACACACACUUUGAUCUUGAAGAUUUGUAGCUUGUGGUUGAGAAUUUCUUACCCAUUUAUGUUUAUUUCUUAAUUUCCUUA
Nicotiana tabacum (common tobacco) is the source of this 829-nucleotide long non-coding RNA. RefSeq lists it as uncharacterized. The record is from RefSeq and is a predicted model, not a curated record. Lineage: Eukaryota; Viridiplantae; Streptophyta; Magnoliopsida; Solanales; Solanaceae.